Molecule: long non-coding RNA, 752 nt
Filed under: Mus caroli (Ryukyu mouse)
Lineage: Eukaryota; Metazoa; Chordata; Mammalia; Rodentia; Muridae
Description: lncRNA (MGP_CAROLIEiJ_G0013631.1)
Rfam family: SOX2 overlapping transcript exon 3 (bases 637-752)
Source: RNAcentral
GCAAUGAAAGCAGUCUGUGUGGAGAGAUUGAAAUGCAUUUCAAAGCCAGGCCUGACUAGGGGGGCACGGAGAACAGACCUAUGAGCUUUCCCUAGGAAGGGAAAAAGUGAAUGGAGAAUGGGAGAGAAGCGGGAGCUGUGGACCGGGUGUUGAAGUUACCGUGGCUCUGUGGACUCAGUCAUCUCCAGUGGGGCCGAAGUUGGACGUCUCGCUGUCCAGGAGACUGAGCAGUCUGAGCUGGGAAAGUUUGGAGCUCCGCGUGAUUGGAAAGAAUGAAGAUUUCUUCUCACUAACCCCUCUUCACCCGUCGGAACCGGAAGGAUGUGUGGAUAGAUGGCUUAAGAACAAAAUGAACUGGAGUUUUUUGAGAGUCCUUUGAGGCCUGCUUGGAUAUUUCCAUCCCUUCCUCCCAAGCCACCACCUCCUUCGGUGGAAUAGAAGCUUGGCUGCCUCAGUAUCCCCAGGAGAGCCAUAGUGACCACAGUAGCUUUCUCUUCAAAAUGACAACUAUCUCAUCUCUUCAGACUAAAUUAACUCCACCCACAGUCAGAAGAAAACUCACAAAAUGGUGGUCAGGAAGAUUGAUCUCUGGAACAUUCACAGGACGACAGGAUGAGAGAAAAAAGGGGAUUGCAGAGGCAAAGCUAGACUAGGUCUUGGAAGCUGGUGUAAGGCGGUGCGCGGAAGGCAGGACGCUGAUGGGAGAGACUGGUCGAAGAAAAGCCGAAAUGGAUUCUCCGUGCCUUGGAUGG